This 200-nucleotide ribosomal RNA is filed under the name uncultured bacterium. RNAcentral's name for it is "partial 16S ribosomal RNA". It matches the Rfam family "Bacterial small subunit ribosomal RNA", at positions 28 to 240 of the family's 1533-position model. The record is from RNAcentral.
GAUGAACGCUAGCGGCAGGCUUAAUACAUGCAAGGCGAAGGGGCAGCAAUGUCACUGUCGUACGGGUGCGUAACGCGUAUGCAACCUACCUAUCACUGGGGGAUAGCCCGGGGAAACCCGGAUUAAUACCGCAUAAAACAGGGGCACUGCAUGGUGAUAUUUGUUAAAGAUUUAUUGGUGAUAGAUGGGCAUGCGUUCGA